GUUAUAUGGUCAAGUGAAGAAGCGCAUACGGUGGAUGCCUUGGCAGUCAGAGGCGAUGAAAGACGUGGUAGCCUGCGAAAAGCUUCGGGGAGUCGGCAAACAGACUUUGAUCCGGAGAUGUCUGAAUGGGGGAACCCAGCCAUCAUAAGAUGGUUACCUUACACUGAAUACAUAGGUGUAUGGAGCGAACCAGGGGAACUGAAACAUCUAAGUACCCUGAGGAAAAGAAAUCAACCGAGAUUCCCUUAGUAGUGGCGAGCGAACGGGGACUAGCCCUUAAGUGGCUUUGAGAUUAGCGGAACGCUCUGGAAAGUGCGGCCAUAGUGGGUGAUAGCCCUGUACGCGAAAAUCUCUUAGUCAUGAAAUCGAGUAGGACGGAGCACGAGAAACUUUGUCUGAAUAUGGGGGGACCAUCCUCCAAGGCUAAAUACUACUGACUGACCGAUAGUGAACUAGUACCGUGAGGGAAAGGCGAAAAGAACCCGGAGAGGGGAGUGAAAUAGAUCCUGAAACCGUAUGCGUACAAGCAGUGGGAGCAGACUUUGUUCUGUGACUGCGUACCUUUUGUAUAAUGGGUCAGCGACUUAUUUUCAGUGGCGAGCUUAACCGAAUAGGGGAGGCGUAGCGAAAGCGAGUCUUAAUAGGGCGUCUAGUCGCUGGGAAUAGACCCGAAACCGGGCGAUCUAUCCAUGGGCAGGUUGAAGGUUGGGUAACACUAACUGGAGGACCGAACCGACUACCGUUGAAAAGUUAGCGGAUGACCUGUGGAUCGGAGUGAAAGGCUAAUCAAGCUCGGAGAUAGCUGGUUCUCCUCGAAAGCUAUUUAGGUAGCGCCUCAUGUAUCACUGUAGGGGGUAGAGCACUGUUUCGGCUAGGGGGUCAUCCCGACUUACCAAACCGAUGCAAACUCCGAAUACCUACAAGUGCCGAGCAUGGGAGACACACGGCGGGUGCUAACGUCCGUCGUGAAAAGGGAAACAACCCAGACCGUCAGCUAAGGUCCCAAAGUUAUGGUUAAGUGGGAAACGAUGUGGGAAGGCUUAGACAGCUAGGAGGUUGGCUUAGAAGCAGCCACCCUUUAAAGAAAGCGUAAUAGCUCACUAGUCGAGUCGGCCUGCGCGGAAGAUGUAACGGGGCUCAAACCAUACACCGAAGCUACGGGUAUCAUCUUCGGAUGAUGCGGUAGAGGAGCGUUCUGUAAGCCUGUGAAGGUGAGUUGAGAAGCUUGCUGGAGGUAUCAGAAGUGCGAAUGCUGACAUGAGUAACGAUAAUGGGUGUGAAAAACACCCACGCCGAAAGACCAAGGUUUCCUGCGCAACGUUAAUCGACGCAGGGUUAGUCGGUCCCUAAGGCGAGGCUGAAAAGCGUAGUCGAUGGAAAACAGGUUAAUAUUCCUGUACUUCUGGUUAUUGCGAUGGAGGGACGGAGAAGGCUAGGCCAGCUUGGCGUUGGUUGUCCAAGUUUAAGGUGGUAGGCUGGAAUCUUAGGUAAAUCCGGGAUUCUAAGGCCGAGAGCUGAUGACGAGUUAUCUUUUAGAUGACGAAGUGGUUGAUGCCAUGCUUCCAAGAAAAGCUUCUAAGCUUCAGGUAACCAGGAACCGUACCCCAAACCGACACAGGUGGUUGGGUAGAGAAUACCAAGGCGCUUGAGAGAACUCGGGUGAAGGAACUAGGCAAAAUGGCACCGUAACUUCGGGAGAAGGUGCGCCGGUGAGGGUGAAGGACUUGCUCCGUAAGCUCAUGCCGGUCGAAGAUACCAGGCCGCUGCGACUGUUUAUUAAAAACACAGCACUCUGCAAACACGAAAGUGGACGUAUAGGGUGUGACGCCUGCCCGGUGCCGGAAGGUUAAUUGAUGGGGUUAGCUAACGCGAAGCUCUUGAUCGAAGCCCGGUAAACGGCGGCCGUAACUAUAACGGUCCUAAGGUAGCGAAAUUCCUUGUCGGGUAAGUUCCGACCUGCACGAAUGGCGUAACGAUGGCGGCGCUGUCUCCACCCGAGACUCAGUGAAAUUGAAAUCGCUGUGAAGAUGCAGUGUAUCCGCGGCUAGACGGAAAGACCCGUGAACCUUUACUAUAGCUUUGCACUGGACUUUGAAUUUGCUUGUGUAGGAUAGGUGGGAGGCUUUGAAGCGUGGACGCCAGUUCGCGUGGAGCCAACCUUGAAAUACCACCCUGGCAACUUUGAGGUUCUAACUCAGGUCCGUUAUCCGGAUCGAGGACAGUGUAUGGUGGGUAGUUUGACUGGGGCGGUCUCCUCCUAAAGAGUAACGGAGGAGUACGAAGGUGCGCUCAGACCGGUCGGAAAUCGGUCGUAGAGUAUAAAGGCAAAAGCGCGCUUGACUGCGAGACAGACACGUCGAGCAGGUACGAAAGUAGGUCUUAGUGAUCCGGUGGUUCUGUAUGGAAGGGCCAUCGCUCAACGGAUAAAAGGUACUCCGGGGAUAACAGGCUGAUACCGCCCAAGAGUUCAUAUCGACGGCGGUGUUUGGCACCUCGAUGUCGGCUCAUCACAUCCUGGGCUGAAGCCGGUCCCAAGGGUAUGGCUGUUCGCCAUUUAAAGUGGUACGCGAGCUGGGUUUAGAACGUCGUGAGACAGUUCGGUCCCUAUCUGCCGUGGACGUUUGAGAUUUGAGAGGGGCUGCUCCUAGUACGAGAGGACCGGAGUGGACGAACCUCUGGUGUUCCGGUUGUCACGCCAGUGGCAUUGCCGGGUAGCUAUGUUCGGAAUAGAUAACCGCUGAAAGCAUCUAAGCGGGAAACUAGCCUCAAGAUGAGAUCUCACUGGAACCUUGAGUUCCCUGAAGGGCCGUCGAAGACUACGACGUUGAUAGGUUGGGUGUGUAAGCGCUGUGAGGCGUUGAGCUAACCAAUACUAAUUGCCCGUGAGGCUUGACCAUAUAACACCCAAGCAAUU
This 2914-nucleotide ribosomal RNA is filed under the name Pseudomonas sp. SXM-1. RNAcentral describes it as "23S ribosomal RNA". It matches the Rfam family "Bacterial large subunit ribosomal RNA". Lineage: Bacteria; Pseudomonadati; Pseudomonadota; Gammaproteobacteria; Pseudomonadales; Pseudomonadaceae. The record is from RNAcentral.